Molecule: long non-coding RNA, 534 nt
Filed under: Marmota monax (woodchuck)
Lineage: Eukaryota; Metazoa; Chordata; Mammalia; Rodentia; Sciuridae
Source: RNAcentral
ACAGGGUUCAGUUGCAUGUGAGUGCACACACACAUCCCCCAGCAGAAACAGGUUACCCCUGGGAGCAGCUCCUAUAUCCCCCAGCAGAAACAGGUUACCCCUGGGAGCAGCUCCUAUGUCCUCCAGAGAAAAGGACCCAGCUUCAGCUUGAGCCUGGGAAUGACCUGCAGGUGCCCCUGGGUAUUGCCAUGUUGUACACCUGGCUCAGGAUCAGCCCCAGCUCCCCAUUCCCAGUUGCUAGAUUAGUGGGAUGGGAGAUACGUACAGAGGGCCAACGUGGGCAAGUGGGGAAGCUUGAAAGUGAGAGGCGGCGGUCCAUAGGCUGUAGGAGUGAAAGUUAAGAUGAGGUUUUGCAGGAAAACCCACAGAGUUGGGGCGUAGAGAGCGCAGUGAGACCGUGGGCGUGGUGAGGGAGGCUCUGGGACUACUCCAGGAAAAGGCCGACAGGGAGAAGGGGUUUGGUAACAGCAGGCUUGGAGAUCUGGAGGAUCAUUUGAAAUGAGAACACUGAAGGGAGUUAUGCGUUGUACUUUU